CAAUUUAGAGCUUGAAUAAGCAUUUUAUUUACAUUAAAAAGAUAAUUUAAAAAUUUAAAUUGA
This 63-nucleotide transfer RNA is filed under the name Coccinella transversoguttata. RNAcentral describes it as "tRNA-Val". The record is from RNAcentral. Lineage: Eukaryota; Metazoa; Arthropoda; Insecta; Coleoptera; Coccinellidae.